RNAcentral lists this long non-coding RNA (833 nucleotides) under Vigna radiata. Its description in RNAcentral is "long non-coding RNA (VRAD_LNC001400)". The record is from RNAcentral. Lineage: Eukaryota; Viridiplantae; Streptophyta; Magnoliopsida; Fabales; Fabaceae.
UCAAGCUAAGACUAAGAAAGGAAAGUUAAGGAUUUUCUAAAACUUUCUUGACUUCCUUUCUCUAAAAUCAUAGAAGGAUUAACUAAAAAUUGUUUACUUUGUUUUGUAGGGCCUAAAUAAAGCUUGGAAACUUUGAGUGAGCCAUCCAAGAAGUAGAAGGCAGCAAAAGGAGACCAAAAAGAACUUAAAGAUUGGCUUGCGGAUGGCUAAUUCAGAGGUGCGCCCAGCCUAAACCCCAAAAUAGCCCAGCGGUGGAAAAUAAAAUGCUUUCCCACGUGAGUAGAUGACCUGGACAGCAGCGUGGGAAUUGCUGGAGUGAAUGAGUGCAUCUUCUAGGAAUUUCAUUUGAAUUUAGGAAGCAUUUGAUUUCAGAAAAGAGGCCCGUCUUCCCCUAUAAAUAAGAGGGCUUCCUCUUUGUAUUACUCACUUUUGAGUUUAGUGAAAUGCUGCAGAAAUUGUUUUCCAACUAUUUUGCUCAAGUCUUUCUGAAGUUUCUAUUUCUUCUCUCAUUUCUCUAGCUUCCUUCUUCUGUAAGAAGGCUUUCUGAGCUGUGAGAUUUCACCUAAACAUCUCUCAUCAUUGUAAACACUUCAAUCACCACAAUACACAUCCAUUUCCACUGACUCCUCUACAUCUCGGAUGGCUUCCUGAUUGGAGCCAGAUCUCAAGGUCUUCUACCCAUAGCAGUCUCCAUCACAUAUCAGACAAAAAGAUAUGUAAGCUUACAUUGGAUCCUAGUGCUAGUUAAGAGGAUAUUACUUAAAUUUUACGUAAUUAGAUAUUUUAAUUGCUGGAAUGAAUUAGAUAUUUUAAUUGCCAUGUUUUCGUUAUUC